CUGAUUUUCUCUGGCUGCCCUGUAGCCGAUGAGAACAGGGUUUCACGCCACAUCCCACCUACCGCUGGGGGCCCUAAAAUAGGACAAUGGACUCGCCCUCGCUGGUUACAAUUCCCUCUCGUGUUUUCCGGUGAUGAACAGGUUCAGAGUC
Bufo bufo (common toad) is the source of this 151-nucleotide long non-coding RNA. RefSeq lists it as uncharacterized. NCBI's taxonomy places the organism in Eukaryota, Metazoa, Chordata, Amphibia, Anura, Bufonidae. The record is from RefSeq and is a predicted model, not a curated record. The transcript is spliced from 3 exons.